Lathyrus oleraceus (garden pea) is the source of this 545-nucleotide long non-coding RNA. RefSeq lists it as uncharacterized. NCBI's taxonomy places the organism in Eukaryota, Viridiplantae, Streptophyta, Magnoliopsida, Fabales, Fabaceae. The transcript has 2 exons. The record is from RefSeq and is a predicted model, not a curated record.
UGUAAUACAUAUCUUGACCAAAGCUUCUCCAUAUUAUCCCCCAUGAGACUUCCAUAGGAAGAAAUAUUUCCUGCUGUUGAAAAUCUGAUUAUGAAAUCAACUGAUUUUUCUGUUAAUAAUAAUGAAAGGAUUAUGGCAAUAAGACCAGGGAUUAUCCCUAUUUUUUUACACAAGUAGGUAAACUCAUGAUUCCGGCACCAACAACUGUGGUGGACAAAUUGAAGACAGCACUAGAAAAUGAAGCUCCAUUAAAUUUUCAUGGAACUUAACAUCACUUUCUUGAGUCUUAGGUAACAAAGGGGGAGAAAUAUAUGAAGCUAUGAUGCACACAUUCAGAGGGAGCUUUUCAAGAACAAUAAAUGCAUUAUCUCAAGUUUUGCAUUCAUCAAAAGGGUGGAGUAUAUGAGUGAAACUUUCCUUUUAGAUAUGUUUUGUAUGAUUUCAAAACUAGGAAAUAGCGUUUAUGUAAAUUGGACGGUAUCAUCCAAGUCUAGUUGUACAUUUUAGUGUUCUUUCAUUAAGAAGCAUGUCAACAUUGUUGGAAA